CACCAGACUCCUACGGGAGGCAGCAGUGGGGAAUAUUGCACAAUGGGGGAAACCCUGAUGCAGCGACGCCGCGUGAGCGAAGAAGUAUUUCGGUAUGUAAAGCUCUAUCAGCAGGGAAGAAAAAAAUGACGGUACCUGAGUAAGAAGCAUCGGCUAGCUCCGUGCCAGCAGCCGCGGUAAUACGGAGGAUGCGAGCGUUAUCCGGAUUUAUUGGGUUUAAAGGGUGCGUAGGCGGACGCUUAAGUCAGCGGUAAAAUUGCGGGGCUCAACCUCGUCGAGCCGUUGAAACUGGGUGCCUUGAGUGGGCGAGAAGUACGCGGAAUGCGUGGUGUAGCGGUGAAAUGCAUAGAUAUCACGCAGAACUCCGAUUGCGAAGGCAGCGUACCGGCGCCCAACUGACGCUGAAGCACGAAGGCGUGGGUAUCGAACAGGAUUAGAUACCCCAGUAC
This 449-nucleotide ribosomal RNA is filed under the name uncultured bacterium. RNAcentral's name for it is "partial 16S ribosomal RNA". It matches the Rfam family "Bacterial small subunit ribosomal RNA", at positions 329 to 793 of the family's 1533-position model. The record is from RNAcentral.